RNAcentral lists this long non-coding RNA (4116 nucleotides) under Arachis ipaensis. RNAcentral describes it as "long non-coding RNA (AIPA_LNC000487)". Lineage: Eukaryota; Viridiplantae; Streptophyta; Magnoliopsida; Fabales; Fabaceae. The record is from RNAcentral.
GAAGAACCAACAUGCACAGGACUUGGUUCCAGCCCUUUGUAAAGCCAGGUAACAUAACAAGAAACGUGCCUUUGCCAUCAAGAUCAACAAGCACAGGCGUUUUCUCACAAUUGCAGGAUAUCAUGCUAUCUAACUCACGAUAGAAGGAUGGCAUUCUAUCUAAACAGCCGUCAAGCCUUUGAAAGAUAAGGACACCCAAUUCAUCCACCUGGAAAGCACAUAUCACUUUUUUUCCUCCAAUCCGUUCGCACGAAAGUGCCAGGUAUUUGCCAGGAUCAACCAGAUCUGUAACAAUACCAAUAAUAGAAUGGAUAAUGCUAUGUGAAGAGCAAUGCUGAGUGAAGAGUGAAGAUUGCACAUUUUACAAUAAGAAAAAAAAAUCAUAUGCAAUGCAUACUUCUUUAAUAAAAAUUAACUACAAUCUUUCUUCUUCAUCAAAGAAAUUCCCCAACAGUUGUUGAAACGAAAAUAUAUUAUGGAGAGAGUAAUUAUCAAUUAGUGCACCCGAACAAAUACCUGGAAUAUGCACAGUAGGAUGAAAGAAGUGACACUGGCCAUCGGAACCCACUGGGACACAAAAAGAACCCGUAAAACUGUUGUCACCCUCACUCUUUGUCCAGCCCUUGUGUGGGUUAUCUGUGUCAUAAUAGUGGAUAAAAACUCUUCCAUCAGUCAAACAGAGUCGGAGGUAUAGCUUACCAUAGAAGUCGAACCAUGAAUUGUUAACUACCCAGGUACCCGACCACAUGUCAGGAUGACCAGGAGCAUCAGGCAAGCAUUCCCAAACCUUGGUUCCGGAGCGUAGAACCGAAAAUAAAUGAGGAGGAUGCUCCACGGGUGCGAAACCACCCGUCUCUAUGAAAUAAUAAUCACUUCUAACUUUGUAACAAGUUGUGAACUGGGUAUCAAUAUCCCUUGGAGCAUCAUCGAUUGAUUUCGACUCCUCCACCUCCUCCUUGUCAAGGUCUAGUUCGAAGACUUUUUUGGAAAAUUGAAAAGCACCACGAUGACGUGGAUGAUAUGGGAAGUAAUAUUGGCGACCUCCAACGAGAUGAAUCUUGGAAUCCAACUCCAAAGCGUACAUGCAGAUCCGUGGAAGAUCCACGCUGAAAUCAAAGGGAAACGGAGGUAGAUUUUCCCAAUUCACAGUCUCCUCCUCCUCGGGUGUUAUCAAUUUCAUGGUGUCGAUGCCGCAGAUCCUUUCAGGCGUUAGCACCAAAAGGUAUCGUUGAUUCUUAUCCGCCAUCAUCCCUUCCUUCUCACGGCACAAGUCAAGCAAUGCAAUUAACUGCGCCAGAAAAGGGGACAAACCCUAGCUGUAACUCAAUUAACAAGGUACAAAAAUAAAACAAUUAAAAUUGAGAAACGAGAACUCAUAAGCAUGGGCAAAUUCUUCUUCGUAGUAUAUAUAUACUCGUAAACUUAAAGACUAGUUUUUAACGUAACGAGUAAAAGAGGGCAUUAUAAAUUGUAACCCUAAUUUAGCAGUUACAAGUAGAUCAUUAUGCUCUGAAAUUACAAUCUCUUUGUCAAAAUAGAUUAAAUAAAAGCAGGCAGAAAAUUCCAGUACAAAAACAUCAGGCAGAGAGAAUAAACGAAGCAACCGUGGCAGAGAGCAGAGCGACGUGAUCACGGCAGGUGAGGUUUUGGGUUUGGGUGAAGAGAGUAACGAAGGUGUGUAGGCUUCAGAAGAAGAGAGAGUAACGUGGAAGAUUAAAAAAUACAGUGAACUAAAAAAAAAAACAUUUUUUAUAUAAUUAUAAAAACUUUUUAAGUGUGACUCAUUUUUUAUACCUUUUUUAACACUACUAAUGAUCUAAAAAGAAAUGAAUGAAAAAAACAGCAUGUGGUAUCAAAUAGCAAAUUCUAAAAAGAUCACAUUUUUAUUGGAUGGGAUUGUUUUUUUUUUUAAUUCAUACAAAAAAAAGAUUCAGUUAGAUUUAAAUAAUGAAGAGAUAGAACUUGACAACUCUAACUAUAGAAAAACAGAAAGCAACGAACUUUUAAUUUUUUUUAAUCAAAUAACUAUCUCACCUAAUUGGAUGUUAAAAAUAUAUUAGGGUUUAGGGUUUAGGGUUAUGAGUCCUAAUUAUUAACUAUUCUCUAUUAUGGAAUGAGGAUCAAUGUGUAGAGAAAAGAGUAUAUUAAUAAAGAUAUUUUUUUUCAAAAUCAAAAAAGUAAUUAGGCUGAUAAAAAAUAAAAGAUUUUUAGCUAAUUUGUUAUCCUAAAACAAUUUGGUAAAAAAAGCAAGUGGAGAGAAUAGGGAAAGUAUAGUAAAUUAGUAAUACUAUGAAUAAUUAAUAAUUCAGGAUCAAAUAUUGGUAAUAUUGUCAACAAAAGAUUGUAUAGUCAAAGGGAAUCGAUUUCAUAAAAGAUAAGAGCCGUAAGUAGAAAUUUAUUGAAAUUCAUCCUUGUUAGAUCGUCAAUAUUAUAUUCAAGGUGUCUUUCGAGUAUACCAAAAUCAGUAUAGCUAUCUUUUUUCGGACACAACAACAAAAUUAAAAGAUUCAUACUGAAAUCAAGUACUAAAUUCUUUCUAACUCGUUUGUUGCAUCAAUAUAAUGCACUCAAUACAAAAUUCCACCAAGUUUAAAUGUCUAAGGAAUCUUUAUAGAAUAAAAUAAAAGUUCUCUACAUGUUAAAUAAAAUAAAUAGAAGUAUUUGAAUAUAAUUUGUAAAACAAGUAUUUUAUUAAAAAGUAAUUAUUCAUAUCAACAUAGUUAAUGUGAUAUCGAGAAAAUCUUUAGAAUUAGUUUCUCAAAAGAAAAUCUUCCUUUUAAACAAAUUAUUAUUUUUUAAUUGAGUAAUCUUUUCUAUUUAUAUAAUAAAAUAGAACAAAUUAAUGACUUCUUAAAAUUAAUUAAAGAUAGCCUUUUAAUUUAUUUACAUCCCAAAAUCCAUGAUCAAUAAUUCAAUAUAGCUAAAACAAUAAAAAAGCCAAGGUAGAAACACAACUCAGAAACAGACUAAUUGGAUAGAGUUCAGAAUUAAAAUCAUAGAAAAUCAUAGAAAAUCCAAGACAUAAAAGAAAUGAUCAUCGAAAAAGCAGUGCUCUUCCCAUUGGAUUGGAACAAGAAGGCAGAAGUUUGUUGACAUCACAAUCUAUACAUAGGAUAGAUUAGAGAUUUUAAGAAAACAAGCAUAGUUGUCCUUGACAUGAAUCUAUACAAUAUUCCAAACUAACAAUCAAAUCACCAGGAAGAACCUUCAUCUAUUCAUGAAUUGAAACAAGAAUGGCUUGCAUGGACAAACUUACUCACAUCAAUAUGCGACAACAACAAAUAACAAAGCUACUUUACUUUAAGGUACAUAAGACAAUGAUGACAAAAAACAGAGAGGCAAGCAUUACCUUUGAAGCAAGCAAGCAUGUUUGGAACUCAAAUUUGGCUGCAUUUUCUUUUUCCUCUACUUGGGACCUCGUAUGCAAUGGCUUCGUUACAGGGGAUAACUGGGAAAAGAGAGACACUAAACCAAUCAUCAAAGCCACGUUUUGUGCUGUACAUGUUCAUGCUAAGAACCUUCCAAUCUAAGAAAUCACACUCCAUUGGGGACCUCACAGAUCUAUGCAGGAUCCGGGGGCGAUGCGAUACAACCUUCUUUGCAAUGAGUUGAAGAACCAACACGCAGAGAACUGGGUCCUGUCUUCGUUAAUUUACAAAGCCAGGUAACAUAACAAGAAACGUGCCUAUAAUAUACUGACUAAUAAUUAUAUUCCUGCUAUCAAUUACAUGGUUCUGAAUAUUUUAUACAUUUAAUAUAGCAAAAACAAUCUUAAAAUUAUUAGCAAGAACAAAAUUCCAAUAAAAAGAAAAAAAAAACACACUAGAGAGCAAAAUAUAUUAAAGACUAAAUAAUCUUUAUAUUAUAACUGGUCUACAUCCAUCACACAAAUUGUUACCUGCUGCUAACUUACAAUUGAAUGUAUAUUUAUAAAUAAAAACGAAUAAUGAAAAGCAUGGCUUAAGUAUUUUUGGUGGAGCUGUCUAAAUAUUUACACAUUUGUUCUAAUUUAUCGUUUAGUAUUUACCCAUUAGAGACAAAACUAAAUAUAUUUAUUAAACAACCUCAUACAUAAAAAAUAAAUAUGAGUAACACUCCAAACUAAGAACAAUAAGA